GCCGUAGCACCUCCGUCUUCAGCUAUAGCUUUUGAUUCAACCUUAUGUCGAGCAACUCAUAUGCCAGAUCAAUUUUUAGCUAUAGCAACGCCAUAAAAUUCACAUUUGAAGCACUUCUGUUCUCAUUUUAACCAAUUUAAUUAGUUCGGACUUCACCUAAUAGGAUACAUUAAAGUUUCAACUCAAAACAUCCAUACUCGACACAAAAGAAGCAUUUCAAGAGAACAA
This 228-nucleotide long non-coding RNA is filed under the name Capsicum annuum. RNAcentral describes it as "long non-coding RNA (CANN_LNC010809)". The record is from RNAcentral. Lineage: Eukaryota; Viridiplantae; Streptophyta; Magnoliopsida; Solanales; Solanaceae.